Daphnia magna is the source of this 1266-nucleotide long non-coding RNA. RefSeq lists it as uncharacterized. The transcript is spliced from 2 exons. The record is from RefSeq and is a predicted model, not a curated record. NCBI's taxonomy places the organism in Eukaryota, Metazoa, Arthropoda, Branchiopoda, Diplostraca, Daphniidae.
GCUAACGAAUUUACAUUAGCGAACCGCUUCUCCAAUGAAUUCCCAAAUAAAUGUACAUUAGCGAAGCGGUUCCCUAUUCAGAUUCCCAGUAUGUUUAUAAUAGCAAAUCGGUUCGCUAUUAUGAAAUCCAUGUUUUAUCCAUUUCCAUGCUCGUUUCCAAACUUAAGCCAUCUGGACCUUUUUAUGUCAUUCGCCAUUCUCUUAAUCUUUCGUCAGUUCAUGCCUUCAUUGGGUUUCCCAACUUCCUGUUUCGAUAGAAUAAUAAUAAAUUUAACCCUUGUUUUAAAAUGUGAUUUGAGUUAGUAUAUGUUUAAGAAUUUAAACAAUAAGUGAGAAGACUUGUAUAAAUUGCCACACCAAGGUUCGUUGUUAUGUAGCUUACACUUUUAUUGACAUUUAUCGUCAUUUUAAUGGUUUCCAGUGAGAGAGCAUAUAGCAACCUAUUUUGAUAUAGCAUCAUCGUACCAUUCUUGGUAUGCGUACACUGAUGAUGUUGGUUGUGAUUCACAAAUGCACAUUUUUAUUGAUAUUUAUUAGAAUAGUUGUUAUGGACAUACAUAUAGUUCAUUUGUAAGGGUAAUGGUUGACAAGUAUUUGUGGCCAUUGCUUAAUAUUGAAACAUUCUUAUUUUAUUUAGGUCUUCAGUGCGAGAACAAACCUGAUUUAUUUGAUGAAAAUCAUGUCAGAUUUGAGGGCAGUGUCCCAAACAAAACCAUUUAAUUUGAUUUAUUAUGUUUUUCAUUUUCAUCAUUAACAACAAAAGCGAGAUAAAAAAAAAAUUGCCUCAGCAAAAUUUGAUUGGCUAUAAUUGUUGUUUUUAAUAAUGUUUAAUUUUGAAAUAUCAGGCAUUUUUCCUGAAUUUCUAAAUAUCCUAUUAGAACACAGGGGUUUACUAAUGUGAAUUUUUUGGGGAUUGCAUUAGUAAAGCGGUUGGCUGUUGCAAAUUCAAAAGCAAAAGAAUAGCGAAGCAGUUCACUAUUAUAAUUAUACAUGGGAUUUGAAUAGCGAACCGCUUUGCCAUUCUUUUUACUUUGAAUUCGCAUUAGCCAACCACUUCGCUAACGUUAAUUUCUUGGGGAUUUCAUUAGCGUGGAGGUUCGCUAAUGUGAAUGGAUUUGGGAAUUCAUUAGCAUUAGGCAAAGCAGCAUCUUCUUUCCAACAAAACCCCCGAGCCGCAAUUUUUUUGUUUUGUAUUUUUUAUUAUUUAUGUGUAUUUUUUUUUCUUUCUGUUUAGUUUCCGAAAUACAAUGCCAUUUAACUUGAUAA